AUUGAACGCUGGCGGCAGGCCUAACACAUGCAAGUCGAACGGUAACAGGAAGAAGCUUGCUUCUUUGCUGACGAGUGGCGGACGGGUGAGUAAUGUCUGGGAAACUGCCUGAUGGAGGGGGAUAACUACUGGAAACGGUAGCUAAUACCGCAUAACGUCGCAAGACCAAAGAGGGGGACCUUCGGGCCUCUUGCCAUCGGAUGUGCCCAGAUGGGAUUAGCUAGUAGGUGGGGUAACGGCUCACCUAGGCGACGAUCCCUAGCUGGUCUGAGAGGAUGACCAGCCACACUGGAACUGAGACACGGUCCAGACUCCUACGGGAGGCAGCAGUGGGGAAUAUUGCACAAUGGGCGCAAGCCUGAUGCAGCCAUGCCGCGUGUAUGAAGAAGGCCUUCGGGUUGUAAAGUACUUUCAGCGGGGAGGAAGGGAGUAAAGUUAAUACCUUUACUCAUUGACGUUACCCGCAGAAGAAGCACUGGCUAACUCCGUG
This 490-nucleotide ribosomal RNA is filed under the name uncultured bacterium. Its description in RNAcentral is "partial 16S ribosomal RNA". It matches the Rfam family "Bacterial small subunit ribosomal RNA", at positions 30 to 507 of the family's 1533-position model. The record is from RNAcentral.